Molecule: non-coding RNA, 11623 nt
Organism: Rattus norvegicus (Norway rat)
Lineage: Eukaryota; Metazoa; Chordata; Mammalia; Rodentia; Muridae
Source: RefSeq, a predicted model, not a curated record
AUAAGGGAGGGUUUGUUUUGUGCUGAAAGCCUUUUGGGGGCAGUGCAAGCAAAAAUAAAUCCAACUGCAAUUGAUGUCUUUUCAUACAUGGUUUUACAUACAGUUAAUUGUUUUUGUUUUCUAUAUUCUAAUAAAGUAUUCAAAUUUUAUUUUCUAUGAAAUAACACUAAAGAGUUAAAUGUUGAGUCAAGUAAGAGUGCAGAGUUUAAACUUCUUUUAAAUAACUAGACAAUAUUUGUUCUUAUAAAAAUAUUUAAUUUACUCUAAAACUUUUUCUGGAUUUUUGACUAAGACUGUAACCGGAGAUAUCAAUUGCAGAGUGUGUUUAUGCCAUUGAGGAUAUAUAUAUAUAUAUAUAUAUAUAUAUAUAUAUAUAUAUAUAUAUAUAUAUAUAUAUAGUCUGGUUAUAUUCUCAUCUUAUGUUUUUCUGAUGAUCUUUUUAUUAUUAAAUUUCACUUUCUAUGUAAGUUACUGAGUUAGGUAGUGAUUUUGGGCUUGUGUUUCCUGUUUUGUGUUUCAUGUUGUAGCAGGUCUGCUUGGAGUAUAUCAUGGAUAAAUAUGACAGUUGUAUGCAUUGAUUAUCACACACUGCUUUAUGCCUUAAGACAAGUACACUGAGCUGCAGUACGUGGACUGCCAUGUGUUUGCUAGAGUAAUAAACCUCUGCUGGUUUUAGCAUUUUGACAUUGUGGACCAUGUGGUUUACUACUGAGUCUCCAGCAACUGUAGAAGUGGAACAAUUGUUUAUUGAGUUGAAAAGGAAAUGCUGUCUUAUAAAUUGAAAAGAUACCUCAAUAGAAUAUAGAUUACCACUAAAACCUGUCAUUCUUUAUAUGUUUUAUUGUCUUAGAAAACUUGUUGAUUUAAGUUCUGCUCUUAGGAGUUGUGAGUGAACAAUUAUCAGCUCCAUGGCAGCUUCUGCUUUCCUGUAUCCUGAGUCCACAACACAGUACUCAUGAGGAUGAUGCUUUCUUUUCCUGUUUGAUAAAAACACAUCGGUGGCAUUGCUGGAGCAGUUGACUAUUUCCAUAAAACUAAAUGCUGUGCCUUUGAAUUGCUUUCAUAAGGAGAACUCAAUAAUGUGCAGCUUUUCUCUCCUCAAAAACAUGUCAGGUUUUCAUUUUAAUGUCUUUUAUAGUGAAAGUCUGUUUAGGUGUGGAUAGCUUCAUGCUAUGCAGUGCUAGAUAUGAAAGAAAAGAAACCUUACUACUGGAGGAAAAUUUGGGUUAAAUGAUUUAAAGACAUUUAAGAACACUCACUUUACUAUUUUAUUUCUUCAUUUUGGUUUUUGUCUUAGGUAGAAAGCAAUUCAUUAAAACCACUAAUAUUUAGCAAGUUUCAUUCACGUCUCUAAUGGUGAUUUUCCAGUUUUUAUUUCACAGAAGAACAGUGUGGAAGAGGUUUUAUUUUGUAUUACUUAAUGGUAGUGGCUGAUUGUAGCCGCAUUUUCAGCCAUGUUGAGGCUUCAGAGAUCCACGAACCUGUAAAUUUUUCAGGAUUAAAGGAGAUAGUGAUUACCUCUCCUGUAGAUCCUCAACCUCUGAGCGAAGGUAAAGGUAGACUACUGGCUGGUAGUCUUAAUGUUUGACUUUCUGCUGCAUGGUUGAAAGGUCAUGCCAUUUACGGCAUUUCUGGUGUAAACACAGUUGAAUCAUUUAUUCUAUCUUUAGUAACUAAAACACGAGAAAAUUUAAUUUGACUCUAUGGUUUUGAGUAAUUAUUUUAUAUUGUCUAGUAAUUAAUUAGUUUAACAUAUUAUUUAUUUUGAUCUUGAAGUUGAUAUUUUUCAUACUCUUUGCCAUAAACCUCCAAAAUUAGAAUGAUAAAGUACAAUGUACUCAGCCACCAUAAAGCAUCUUUACUAUUAUCUUCUUAAAUAUUGAUUUUGAUUAUUAUUUUGUAAAAAUUAUUACUUUAAUUUUGUAAAAAUUGGAAUUUAUAGUGUCAUGGUUUUCUUCUUAGAAGAAAAUUGAUGUAUAGUGUUUCAAAUAAUACACCUACUAUGUUAUUGUGCCUCCUAUGGAAUUGUGCCUCCCACAUAUCUUAAAUCUUCUAGAGGGUCACGGUUUCUAUUUUCCAAGUCAGUACCACUACCAACUGUGAUGAUUUGUUUACAGUAAACAAUCUGCUUUCUAGAGCAUGUCAGAAAUGCAACAUGUUAGCUACUUUCCUUUUUAGAAGCACCCAUUAUUUCAUUAACAAUUAUUUGUCUGCUUAUUUGUUUGUUUGUUUAAAAUUAACAACCAGAUUCAUGGACUUAUCUUUUUCUCUUACUUCUGCAAAUACAGAAGUUACUGAAGAAAUUGGGCGUGUGGAAGAAGAGGGGGUGGAAAAGGAGGGAGACGAGGUCAAGGCAGACAACAGGGAAGAAACAUCAAGCUUACCUAAUAAUGGGAAAAAAGGCAAGUCUAAAAUUAUGUAUGUGUCUCUCUGUACUGACAUUUAUAAUGUGUAUAAAUAUAAUUCAUUAAAUUAGAAAGUCUUAGUCCCAAUUUGUUAUUUAGUGGUAAAAAAUACUUGUUUGUAUCUAUUUCUACUUAUUUAAUCUCUAAUAUUUUACCAUAGGCUGAUGAUGCAGCUCAAUGGCUUAGAAGUUGCCUAGCACUGCAUGUGGACACACUCACUCUCUCUCUCUCUUUCCCUCCCCCCUCCUACACACACACACACACACACACACACACACACACACACACACACACACACAAAAGUAACUUAUUGAUGCUAAGACUCCUAUUUUAUUGAAAUGUACAGAUUGAAAUUGAGAUUUAUUUUUUUGAUCACAUUAAAUUCCAAAAUUCUGAAGAAAAUAGUGGUAAUAUAUUAUGAAUUUUAAAAUAUAAUAUAGACAUUUUCAAUUUUGAAUUUAUUUUAAAAUAACACUAUUUAAAAUAAACUCUUAGAAUGAAACAAUGGGAAAUUUGACAAUAACAAAUGAUAAAUAUAAGUAAUAAGUAGAAAACAUUUGUGGAAUUACUACUCUAUAUACAUGGAUUAAUUUGUUGCUGAGACAAAUAAAAAGGCAACUGACUUAAAUCCAGAGUUUACCAAAACUUAAUUCAAACUAUCCGACUUGUGUUUUGGAAUAAUUAAUAAUCCAAAAUAUCUAUACAAAUUUGUUUGCAAUGUCAGCAUUUGAAUGAUCCCAUGAAUAUUAGAAAUCUUUUAGUACUAUAACAUUUGACCUUUUGUUAUUGAGCUAAAUAAAGACAUGAACACCUUAGUAUUUCAAUAGCUUAAUUAAUAUGGCCUUUAUCUGAAAAAGUGUUUUCAACCUGUCAGUCAAUACUCCUUUGGGGAUGAACGACCCUUUCAUAACACUGAUAAUUAUUAAUGUCUGUUCUGUCAUAUGAUUUAAAAGGUGGGAGUAAUGUGAAAAUAUAGCUAAAAUUAGAGCACAUCACAUAAAAUGGAACUUUAACUGACACUCAAGAGUUGUGUGUGUAUGACAUAUUUAUUGACUUCUCUGAUGUUUCUUAGAACCCAUGAAAGAAAAUUUUUAUAUAUAUUUAAGUAUAACUGAAAAAGUACAUCUUCAAGUUCAUUCCAUUAUUUGACUGCAUAAGUUGUGAACACAUACUGCCAUAUUGGCUUGAUGAACAUCUAAGUAUUAAGUGGGAUCUGUUCCCAUGGGGUCACUGGGUCAAAGGCCUCCAACUGUGAUGGCUUAUUCUGUCCUCUCUUACCUUGAUGUCUCCUUAAGCAAGGCUACUUCAGACUCUUCAGGUUUCCCAGUUCCUUUUUUCCUGUACACAAAGCUUCCUGUCCUUAAUGCAUAUUGGCUCUUUUUACUCUUUGCAAACUUUUUAUUUGCCCUUGCAUCACUGUAAACAUUUUUAUCAGCAUAAAGAGUAAUACUUUAUGUAUAAUGGUCCUCCAUGUGAUAUAACUAAGCCUAGCAUUAGUUAUUAAUGAACAACAGUUUGAAUGAUGAGAACUUUGAAUGGUUUGUAGGUAAUUUCUCAUUUUAAUCUAGUAUUUGGAUCUGUAGGGUUUUUUAGCCUAUUACUCAGGUCAAGCUAUCUGGUAUUAUAUUUUAUUAUGGUGUUGUUGUUUAGCUUUGUAUAUUUUGUUAAUAUUUAGUAAUACACACAGACAACUUACUACGAGAGCUGUUUUGAAUAGGUUUGUUUUCUGUGUAGGUUUUCCACACAUUUUUCUCAACCAUCUUAUUACUUCAUAUUCUGCCAUUUCCUAACAACUUGUUUUAAUAUUGCAAAGUAUUUAGAUUUUCUAAAGCAUUGAAAUACAGUUAUUGUUGAAGGAUCAGCCUGUGCUAUUAUCACUUACAAAUUUUCAUGGGAAGUAAGUGUAGAAAAUCAAAUUAUGCACAGAAGGAUUCUGAAAAAUUUGGUCUAGAGUAUGAGCUAUCUAGGAUGAAAACUGUUCUGUUGUAACCUUGUUGCCCUUUAGAUUUAGUAUACAUUUUCUUUUUGAAAUAAUUUAGCAUAUUUAAAUUGCUUCAAAUAAGUUUUUCAUAUAGUCAGUACUAUAUUAGCAUUAGCUAUUAGUAUAAUUUCUCAGACAUAUUAUAAUUAAAUAAUUUGUAAUUAUAUAAUAUAAAAUUCUAGAAAUUAUAAUUUCUUGUGUGAACCUUGGAUACUCUGAAAGCAUGAGUUUUAGAUUUAAAGUCAUAUUUGAUUAUGACCAUCAAACUGAAUGAACUCUACUGUUACACACACACACACACACACACACACACACACACACACACACACUAUAGUUUGAUAGUUCGUUACUGGUGCUAUGCUCCAGAUAAAAGACUAUAUAACACAGUAGAAAUGAAUGGAUGGACUAUUAAAGCAUGUUAUUUUAUGAUUUCAAUAUAUUCAUUGAUGUUAUUUAUACAUGCUUAGCUAUGUAUUUGAAAGUGUAGAGAGCUUUAGAAUGCUUUUGGCACACAAUUUAUCAGGAUUUUUCAGUCCAUUAUUACUUUUCAAUACUCCCUACAGAUGCACUGCCAGUCAACUUCUUGUGUCUUCAUCUUACGUUUCCUUCUCAGACUUUGUGAACUUUGGCAAGUCACUUAAUUUCACUAUGCUUCAGCUUCCUCUUGUGUUAAAUAAGAUACCACAGAGGAUUUGAAUUGAAACUUGGUGGUUUUGGAAAUGUGGUUGAUAGAAACUGAUGUCCCAAGCAUUUUUGAUUCUAAUUACUUAUUAUCUUAUUAUUGUUUAAUGAUACAUUAUUUUAGAAAGUUAUCACACAGUUUAAUUGGCCAUCAGUGAUGUAUUAUUGUAUAGCAUAACAUUUUAUAAAAUCCCUCCCAAAAUGUACAGUGAGUUGUAUAUAAAAAUAUUUUGUUUCUUGGGUAUAAUUUUUAAUGUAAAAUUGUCUUUGGAAUUUCAUAUUUAGCUAAUGUAAAUAAGAAAGAAAUGAAAAACGCAUAGAUGGAGGAAAGAACGACAUAAGGAAAGACAGAAGAGAGGCAGGGUGAGGGGAAGAAGUAGAUACUGUUGAAUUCACUCAUACAGCUGCUUGCUUUGGCCUGCUUUCUAGGAACUGGGUAAUAUUUAAGCUGAUGAGAAUACAUGAGGAUGUUGACUAUGAUCUUUGCUUUGCUGCCUUUCUGUGUUCUUACAAAUGCUUUCAAUGCAAGGGAUUGUGAAUAACUGUCUUAAUCUCAAAAAAAUGAUUUAUAUCUGUACAGGCAUAGAUUUCAGUGUGGAGUUCAUACUGCAUUACUUCCCUGUGUAUAUAAAAUGACAACAUAGCCAAUGUUGAUACAAGAGUCGAAAAUACUUUAUAUAUCAUGAAUUUCUAGCAUAUACUUUUGAGCAGGAUGGGUGCUCAAUCACACUUAUGUUUAUGGAAAAGCUUGGUGACCGUGAACAAGCUGGACUUGGAAGUUAAGCAAACAAAGCAUAUACUAUUUAGAGUAUAUGCUGAUAUUUUAUGGCUCAAGGAAGGAUAGAGGCUACAAUAAGAGAAAGAAUAAGACAUCCCGAUAUCUACUUGUGUGGCAUUAAGUCCUUGUGAGCACACAUUUUCUAGUUUCUAACCUCUGUUUCCGUAUCAUGACUGUCUUCUCCUUUUCUCAUAUGAUCUUAUCUGUACUUCCAAAUGCUUAGGUAACUAAUUAGGUUUAGGAAAGUAGUCCAUUGAAUGCAUGACUUUCGUGGCUGCUGUUCAGAUCCACAUCAUUGACUUUCUUGAUAUAAUUUGUAAAGCAUCUUUUUUUAGAAAUUUGACAUUAGUUUCGUGUUAGGGAGGUUUUUUGGUGUGGAUGAAUGAAUGCCCCCAUCUCACCUGUUUCAUGGGGUCCUUUUGAUUUAGCUCUUUGAGACAGAGUUUCACUCUAAUUCUAGGAUUGAGAGUCUGAGGCAGAAGGAUCACUGUAUAUUUGAGACCAAACUGGUCAGCACAGUACUAGGACUACAUAGUGAGAACCUAGUCAACAAAAUCUAAAGCCUCUUUACAAUUAACUGGAGCACUGGGAUUGUCUUCUGCUCGACACCCGUACACUUGGGUACUAAGCAAGCUCUACAUUUUAGGACUUGUGUUCAAAGCUUUGUCUUCAAAGUGUACAAGAUCUCCAGGCCCUGAGUUAGGUUAUCUGAAGGCUAGUUCAUCUGAGAAUAAGAAAUAACACAUUUCUCCUGUUGCCAGCAUGCAACUGUGAAACUUAGUAGAUUCAGGUAUUUGAAAUUACUUGUUAACCUAGGAUAAAUAUUUUGUUCUCAUACUUACUAAUUAGAAGUCUCCUGUGUGCUGUAUAGAGUCUGUGUGCUGUGUGAUAUGUAUUAGAGCACAUUAAAGCACAUUGAGCAAAAUCUAGCUAAUAUAGAAGUCUGUGCUCUUUAGAUCAAUUUUGAUACAAAAUUAUCUGUUGUGAUGAGGCUACCUGGAAUACAGUAGCUUUGCAGACAUUGUUCACCUCAUAGUUAAAUCCUCGAGACUUAUCUGCUUCAAAUUACUUAAUUUAUUAAGUCAAUACUAAGUUAUCUCAUCUACACACUAUAAAUACUAAAAUAAAGUAAUAAUUUAGGAUUUUCAUACCUCGAAAUGAUUAAAUUUUAACAAUAUGUCAGCUUAAUAACACUGUAAAAUUUAGAUCCACGACUGAAUUCUAAACAGUGAAAUGAUUAAUUGGAAUCUUCGGGAAAAUGAAAGUAUUUUACUAAGAGAAACUUAUCUCCUUAGUGAUUCCUAACUCAUUUAGAGCAUAUUGAUACAUUAGUUCAAAAUAAUAGACAAAUUAACUUACAUUCUACAAAUCUGAUUUUCCCUUAGUAAUAAUCGUGACCAGCUUUGUUAAAUGGGAAUGCUCUGUUACAUAGGAAGACUAGUAGGUAAAGAGACAGCUUUAUGUAUGGUGAGAUUUUAUGCAAUUUUUUUUCUUUUUUUUUUAUUAACUUGAGUAUUUCUUAUUUACAUUUCGAGUGUUAUUCCCUUUCCCAGUUUCCGGGCAAACAUCCCCCUCCCCCCCUCCCCCUCCCCUUCCUUAUGGGUGUUCCCCUCCCCACCCUCCCCCCAUUGCCGCCCUCCCCCCACCAGUCUAGUUCACUGGGGGUUCAGUCUUAGCAGGACCCAGGGCUUCCCCUUCCACUGGUGCUCUUACUAGGAUAUUCAAUGCUACCUAUGGGGUCAGAGUCCAGGGUCAGUCCAUGUAUAGUCUUUAGGUAGUGGCUUAGUCCCUGGAAGCUCUGGUUGCUUGGCAUUGUUGUACAUAUGGGGUCUCGAGCCCCUUCAAGAUCUUCCAGUUCUUUCUCUGAUUCCUUCAACGGGGGUCCCGUUCUCAGUUCAGUGCUUUGCUGCUGGCAUUCGCCUCUGUAUUUGCUGUAUUCUGGCUGUGUCUCUCAGGAGCGAUCUACAUCCGGCUCCUGUCGGCCUGCACUUCUUUGCUUCAUCCAUCUUGUCUAAUUGGGUGGCUGUAUAUGUAUGAGCCACAUGUGGGGCAGGCUCUGAAUGGGUGUUCCUUCAGUCUCUGUUUUAAUCUUUGCCUCUCUCUUCCCUGCCAAGGGUAUUCUUGUUCCCCUUUUAAAGAAGGAGUGAAGCAUUCACAUUUUGAUCAUCAGUCUUGAGUUUCAUUUGUUCUAACAUGUGCAUAGUAGCAAUGGUUUACCACUGUGUAGAGGAAUGUGAAUAAAGACAUAGCCAGAGAGUCCAUAGUAGAAACAUAAAACUGACUCUUAAAAGUUUUCCUCCUAGCAAGCGCAAGGCCCUGGGUUCGGUCCCCAGCUCCGAAAAAAAAAAAAAAAGAAAAAAAAAGUUUUCCUGACUUCCAUGCAUGUUCUAAUUCUCUCUCUCUCUCUCUCUCUCUCUCUCUCUCUCUCUCUCUCUCUCUCUCUCUCUCUCUCUGUGAGUGCAUGUGUGUGUGUUAGCAUGUGCACACAGGAACAUUGUGUAUGGGAAGACACAAUGCAAUAAAUACACAUGCAAUAAAUAAAUUUUUAAAAAAGAAGAUAAGAAGGUUGCUUUUUUUUUUAACUUUAGUAUUUCUUAUAUACAUUUCGAGUGUUACUCCCUUUCCCGGUUUCCAGGCAAACAUUCCCCUAAUCCCUCCCCCUCCCUUUCUUUAUGGGUGUUCCCCUCCCCAUCCUCCCCCCAUUGCCGCCCUGCCCCCAACAAUCUAGUUCACUGGGGGUUCAGUCUUAGCAGGACCCAGGGUUGCUUUUAAGAACUGGUGCUGGGGUUGGGGAUUUAGCUCAGCAGUAGAGCACUUGCCAGCAAGCGCAAGGCCCUGGGUUCGGUCCCCAGGUCCAAAAAAAAAAAAAAAAGAAAAAGAAAAAAAGAAAAAAGAAAAAAGAAAGAACUAGUGCUUCUCCCCCAUGGGAGGAGGAGGAGUGUGAUGAGAAACUGUAAGAGGUUGGAAUAGGGGGGACAACUGUUGGACUAGAAAUAAAGUAAUAAAAAGGGAGAGAACAAGCCCUUUAACAUCUAUAAGUUCAUAAAUAAAUUCAAAGUCAAAUUACUUUAAAAGAAAGAAGUAAUGCAAAAUUGAGAUUUAGUGGUUGAGAGGAACAUUUUAGUAUUUGCCCAACAAGUUGCUAUCCCUUUGUCCAUCACUCUAUCUCUUUUCCUCUUCAUCUAGCUUGUGUCCACUCUGCUUCAUCCACAGUGACCUCUCGGUUUCUCUGGACAUACUUCUAACUUAAAAUGUUUACACUUGACUAUUCUUACAUGUAACGUCCUUUUCUCCUGAAUGACCUUAAUCUCUGAGGUUCUUUAUUCAAGACUAGCCUACUUAGAGAGGACUUUUCUGACUAUACUCCAAAAUGUCAUCGUGCUUUAGACAUGCAUUUCCUUCUUGCUUACUUUGUCUGUUUAGCAGUUUUCUCUAAGUCAUUGUGCUUCCAUGUUCAGGCCACAAGCUCUUUACCAGUAAGCUACAUGCCUUCUAGAACCUUCAUGAUCAUGGAGGCACCUAUUUUGUCCUCUGCUGUGUCCUUUGUCCCUGUGCACAUGCCUACAUUAUAAUGGAUGCUUAACACUUACGGAAUGAAGAAAGUUAUACCAAUCUGCAGGCUCUUCUAGGCCAUUGGAUAUGCCAAGUAACCUAUGUUCAUGAUGUCAAGAAUUGCUUCUGCCCUGUUUUAUUGCUAGAUUGACUGAAAUAUUUCUUAGCAUAUUAGUUUUCUUACCAGGUAAUGAAUAGAGUAGCAAACUAAAUAGCUAUUUUAUUAUAUGUUGAAACUAAUUUUUUCUCAUAUGUACUAAAAAUCUUUAAAGUUGCAUAGAAAUAUUUUACCACAAUAAAACAGUUCCUAAUAAUUUUUACUUCUAAAAUAAAUUCACAUUUUUGAAUCAACAAAGUAAUGGUUAUUCUCUAUUAAGCUAUCAUUUAAUUAUUUAAGCUAUCAUUAAUUAUUUUCUUCAUACCUUGAAUUCAUUCAUUUUAUUGAAAAUAAAUUUAAAGGUUUACAAAAAGCAUAAUUUAAAAUUUUAGAUCUUGAGUUCAAUAAAAACAACUCAAGCCAUAUCAAUUUCUACAUUUAAAUUUUUAACAACUUACAUAUUGUAGAAUUUGGGAGAAUGAUUCUUUAAUCCCAAUUCUUAAGGUUCUUUGAGGUUUGAGGUCUUGUUAUGUGCAUUAUCUGUGUUUCUGACAAGCACUGAUCCUUUUUUUUUAAUUUGUACUAGAAGUUACAUGGGAAGACCAACAGGGAAAGGCGAAUGGUACAGUAAGUGAUGACAAACCAUUGCCGACCCCGAAACUCCAGUCUGAGCCAGGUUUGUCAGGGUGGAAACCACAUGAAAGCAUGAGACUAUAAACACUGCAUUUCAUGCUUUUUAAAGUGUGUGUCCUUGUACCUUACCUCUCAUUUUGAUGUGAACUUUAUAGUGUGCAGAUCAGUGUGGAGUACAUGAUGAAUGUGUAACAUGAUUUACUUAUAAAAUUAACCUCGUGUCUUUAAAGGAAAAAUUACUGUGUAAGCACAAGAGAAUGUCUGCUUUAUGUAUUUGAUGGUACUUUAAUGGAGAAGCACUCACUUCUCUCAACAGGACUGAAGAAAGCUCAAUAGAAAUAUCCCACUUUGUCUUUUUAUGCAUCCCUAUUUUUAGUUUGCAAAUGCCAAGAGAGAGUUGUGCCACAAUAUUAUCUCUCUGCCACUUAGGGAGUCAGAAGUUACUGGCUACUACAGGAAAGAAAAGGGACGGCACAGCUCACAGACUCAGAAAGUGUCUCUUCAAACCAUUCAUGUUAUCAAGGAGGUGAAAUGUUUCGCUUUCUUCUCCUCAAUUUGUACAACAGUUCGAUUUCGUAGCAAGUCCCCAACCCUAUCCCCAUAUUUUAAGAGGAAAGACAUGAAAGUUGCUAAGACCUAUUCAAUAAUCACUACAACGUUUAAUUUGUAAUUAGAGAAAUCAGUGCACAAUAACAUUUUAUCAACUUUAAAAUACUUGAAUCAUUUUUACUUUUUAUAUUAUUUUAAAUGGCUGUGUGUAGGAACAAUGAUAGUGUAUUUUCAUGUGCUUGCUUAUUUUUCUUUGAGCUGAAAAACCUGUAAUUUAAAUAUAUCAAAGUAUAAAUCAAAAUAGUUCAUUCAUGAGUAUUUAUUACCGUCUAUUGCAAUGCCAACAUUAAUGCCAAUAAUGAAUCAUUUGAGUUCAUAGGAAAGACAAAGCAAUAGUCCUCUUAGAAUCUUUGGUGACGUAAACAAGUUAAAAAGUAGUUGCAGCAUGCACUGAACCAUUGUGACAAGGGCUACUAAGGAGAGUGGAGUGCUGGUGAAGCUGACUGCACAGAAAGUCCACAGUGUGAGAGCCGAUGGAAAGUCAAGUGAAAUGAAAUGAAACCUAAGUCAUUUCAGGGAUUUAAAUACAUUCACUGGAGAUGAAACUAUGUUUAGCAGUCUUAACUGGACUCAGUGUAUUGGAAAGUCGUAAUUUUUAAUAUGUUUAAAGAGAUAUAAAAAUACAGAUGUAAAAAUAAUUUGUAUUAUGGUUUAUAUAAUAAAAAUACCUCUUAAAAGUAUCUCUCAAGAUAAAGAUUUAGUUCUGUAGAGCUCUUGCUUGUUGAGCGAGAAUCUCUGCUAGAUUUCUACCACUAAAAACAAAGUGACUAAUUAAUUUUCCUCACUAUAUUGUAUGAUGUGGAUUAUCUUUGCUCAUAAACUCUUACGUGGCAUCAAACCUGAUAUUUUAUAUAAACCUAUAUUUUUAUGUCAAGAUCACAAGCCCA